GCCGGGAUAGCUCAGCUGGUAGAGCAGCGCAUUCGUAAUGCGCGGGUCGUAGGUUCGAAUCCUAUUCCCGGCACCA
Molecule: transfer RNA, 76 nt
Filed under: Gammaproteobacteria bacterium 13_2_20CM_66_19
Lineage: Bacteria; Pseudomonadati; Pseudomonadota; Gammaproteobacteria
Also listed under: 6 other names
Description: tRNA-Thr
Rfam family: tRNA
About the family: Transfer RNA (tRNA) molecules are approximately 80 nucleotides in length.
Source: RNAcentral